GCGUCCGAUUAGCCAGUUGGCGGGGGCAACGGCCCACCAAGGCGACGAUCGGUAGGGGUUCUGAGAGGAAGGCCCCCCACAAUGGAASUGAGACACGGUCCAUACUCCUACGGGAGGCAGCAGUGAGGAAUAUUGGUCAAUGGGCGGAAGCCUGAACCAGCCAUGCCGCGUGCAGGAAUGAGGCCCUACGGGUCGUGAACUGCUUUUMGCRCGGAGCAAUAAGGGGGGCUCGUCCCCUAGAUGAGAGUACGCGCGGAAUAAGCAUCGGCUAASUCCGYGCCAGCAGCCGCGGUAAUACGGAGGAUGCGAGCGUUAUCCGGAUUCAUUGGGUAUAAAGGGUGCGUAGGCGGCCCUGCAAGUCAGUGGUGAAAUGGUGUGGCUCAACCAUAGCAUUGCCGUUGAAMCUGGUUUUCUUGAGUGUAAAUGAGGUAAGCGGAAUGUGUCGUGUAGCGGUGAAAUGCAUAGAUGUGACACAGAACUCCAAUUGCGAAGGCAGCUUACUGGGAUACAACUGACGCUGAGGCACGAAAGCG
Molecule: ribosomal RNA, 533 nt
Filed under: uncultured Bacteroidia bacterium
Lineage: Bacteria; Pseudomonadati; Bacteroidota; Bacteroidia
Description: bacterial SSU rRNA
Rfam family: Bacterial small subunit ribosomal RNA
Source: RNAcentral